This 253-nucleotide ribosomal RNA is filed under the name uncultured bacterium. RNAcentral describes it as "partial 16S ribosomal RNA". It matches the Rfam family "Bacterial small subunit ribosomal RNA", at positions 524 to 776 of the family's 1533-position model. The record is from RNAcentral.
UACAGAGGGUGCGAGCGUUAAUCGGAGUUACUGGGCGUAAAGCGUGCGUAGACGGUCAUGUAAGUCGGGUGUGAAAGCCCCGGGCUCAACCUGGGAAUUGCAUUCGAGACUGCAAGGCUAGGGUGCGGAAGAGGGAAGCGGAAUUUCCGGUGUAGCGGUGAAAUGCGUAGAUAUCGGAAGGAACAUCAGUGGCGAAAGCGGCUUCCUGGUCCAGCACCGACGUUCAGGCACGAAAGCGUGGGGAGCAAUCAGG